CGCUUCCUUCAGACAGAUGAGUCUCGAGUCUAUGGUGUAGUGACACUAGAACGAGAGUGUAGGUGGUUGUUGGAGAACAACUAGCACUGAGUAUGAUCAAUACAAAAAGUUACAUAGAUGUCUGCUCACUCAUUAGUGAUUUUCUCGAUGCUGCAGUAGUGUGACUGGUGCUUUAACCUGCAGUGCUAUAGCUGCUCGCAGUGAGGUUGUUGGAGUUUGACUAUACAUAAACAUUGACUCAAUGAGUCCUUGUAAUGGAUAUUGGCGAUAGUUGAUCCACUAUAGGAGUAGGGUGUGCACCU
This 302-nucleotide long non-coding RNA is filed under the name Elaeis guineensis (African oil palm). RNAcentral describes it as "long non-coding RNA (EGUI_LNC048463)". The record is from RNAcentral. Lineage: Eukaryota; Viridiplantae; Streptophyta; Magnoliopsida; Arecales; Arecaceae.